This 961-nucleotide long non-coding RNA is filed under the name Equus caballus (horse). RNAcentral describes it as "lncRNA (ENSECAG00000058609.1)". The record is from RNAcentral. Lineage: Eukaryota; Metazoa; Chordata; Mammalia; Perissodactyla; Equidae.
CUGAGAGCCCUUGACAGCAUGGCGUGGGGUGUGCGCCUAUUUAAGGUUUAAAAGCACCACUCCUGCAAAGACAGUACAGUUACCUGUGGAGAGCAGAGAGCCGCCCGGAGGGACAGACAGCGGACCGUGAAGGGCCUGCUGGGAUGGGGGUGGGGGAACUGAGGCUGAAAGAGAAGAAAGGAUUUAGCCAAGGCCACCUCCUGAAUUAGGAGCCACGUGACCUAUCCUACUGCUUCUCAGCAAGAAGCCUGGCCCCAAAUCUCCUCCACUCCCCGCAGCUGCCGCCCCCCGCUGUUUCCAUUAGAGAGUCGUUCUUCCCUGUUUACCCUGUGAGCGGCUGCCCCCCGCCUCCGCCCCUGCUAGGACGCGGGUGUAUGAGAGUUGGGAUUUUUGUCUCCUGCUGUACGAAGUAGCCGAGAGAAGAGAAUCGGCACUGAUGAUCAGAUUUUUAGCUCGACAUACCCACAAAACCGGCUCUAAGAUGAAGACACACGUGGUUUCCAUCCCCAGAAGCUCCCCUGUGCUCCCUCUGGUCAGCACCCGCCCCCCGCCCAAGGGGACCCAUCCUCCCCUUCCUUGUUCCUGACUUUCCUGCACCUGGAGCCACGGCACCUGCUCCUUCCACGUGCCGGCUUUCUGCUCCCCAUGUGUGAGAGUCACCCGUGUGGGCAGCGAGGGGACCCGUGGGCUUUUAGCUUAAGCAACCACGUGGGCAGUGGUGCCACCUCCUGAGCUGGGAUGGCCAGCGGGGAGCAGGGAAUCCAGAGUUCUGCCCAGAGUUCAGGCUGAGAGUGUGGACGCGGGCCUGGGGCUGGAGACGGGAGUCAGGCAACAUCAGCCCAGGGACGACAUUAAAGCCAUGAGAGCAGGAAUUAUCCAGUCUCUUGCUGCCACAGAUUCAGGGCCACCUGCUCCAGGUCAGGCCUCCCACCUGCUCUCCACUGGGAGGCACCUAAAGGAC